RNAcentral lists this ribosomal RNA (524 nucleotides) under uncultured Flectobacillus sp. RNAcentral's name for it is "bacterial SSU rRNA". It matches the Rfam family "Bacterial small subunit ribosomal RNA", at positions 340 to 867 of the family's 1533-position model. Lineage: Bacteria; Pseudomonadati; Bacteroidota; Cytophagia; Cytophagales; Flectobacillaceae. The record is from RNAcentral.
UACGGGAGGCAGCAGUAGGGAAUAUUGGGCAAUGGAGGCAACUCUGACCCAGCCAUGCCGCGUGCAGGAUGAAGGCGUUAUGCGUUGUAAACUGCUUUUAUAUAGGAAGAAAUAGACCUUGCGAGGUAAGUUGACGGUACUAUAUGAAUAAGCACCGGCUAACUCCGUGCCAGCAGCCGCGGUAAUACGGAGGGUGCAAGCGUUGUCCGGAUUUAUUGGGUUUAAAGGGUGCGUAGGCGGUUUAUUAAGUCAGUGGUGAAAGACGGUCGCUCAUCGAUUGCAGUGCCAUUGAUACUGGUAGACUUGAGUGAGAUUGAGGUAGCUGGAAUGGAUAGUGUAGCGGUGAAAUGCAUAGAUAUUAUCCAGAACACCAAUUGCGUAGGCAAGUUACUAAGUCUCAACUGACGCUGAGGCACGAAAGUGUGGGUAUCAAACGAGGAUUAGAUACCCUGGUAGUCCACACUGUAAACGAUGAUAACUAACUGUUGGCUUUCGGGUCAGUGGACAGAGAAAUCGUUAAGUUU